UAGUCCACGCCGUAAACGAUGGUCACUAGUUGUUGGGGUCUUGUACCUCAGUGAUUAAGAGAAAUUGAUAAGUGACCCACCUGGGGAGUACGAUCGCAAGAUUGAAACUCAAAGGAAUUGACGGGGGCCCGCACAAGCGGUGGAGCAUGUGGUUUAAUUCGAUGAUACGCGAGGAACCUUACCAGGGCUUAAAUGUAAGUUGCAUGAUUUAGAGAUAGAUCUUUCUUCGGACUACUUACAAGGUGCUGCAUGGUUGUCGUCAGCUCGUGCCGUGAGGUGUCAGGUUAAGUCCUAUAACGAGCGCAACCCCUACCGUUAGUUGCCAGCAUGUUAUGAUGGGGACUCUAGCGGGACUGCCGGUGCAAACCGAGAGGAAGGUGGGGAUGACGUCGAGUCCUCAUGGCCCUUACGGGUUGGGCGUACACACGUGCUACAAUGGCGGUGACAAUGGGCAGCGAGAUCGCGAGGUCGAGGCCAAUCCCCAAAAACCGUACCUACCACGUUCGGAUUAGUCACG
RNAcentral lists this ribosomal RNA (517 nucleotides) under uncultured bacterium. Its description in RNAcentral is "bacterial SSU rRNA". It matches the Rfam family "Bacterial small subunit ribosomal RNA", at positions 791 to 1306 of the family's 1533-position model. The record is from RNAcentral.